RNAcentral lists this small nuclear RNA (22 nucleotides) under Arabidopsis thaliana (thale cress). RNAcentral's name for it is "snRNA_14812". The record is from RNAcentral. Lineage: Eukaryota; Viridiplantae; Streptophyta; Magnoliopsida; Brassicales; Brassicaceae.
UUUCGGGCACGGAUAAGCACUA